UCCUGCCUUUAUCUAACCUGAGUUUUUGCCCUGGUCCAGUCCUGAUUCUUGCCAUGUCUAUUGCCUGGAUUUUCAUGCACCUGCUAACAACCUGUUUAUCUUUUUUUUCACCUGCCUGAGUUCCUGUACCUGGUCCAUUGUGAAACACUGCAUUUUGCGACUGGAAUGGUUAGAUUGCAUAACUGUGGUAUGGAAGCAUUAUAAGAUGAGACCUAGGGUGCACUAGCGGAAAAUGAGCUACUUUUGUGUACAUACCAGUGGCUGCACAGUGGAAUAGUGGUGAGCACAGUAAACUCAAAACAAAAAGGUCUCCAUUGCUGUGCAGGAGUUUGCAUGUCCUUCCACUGCAUUUCUUUCACUCUGGCUUCCUCCUCAGUGUGGCAGACAUUCCAGAGUGCAAGCAUCCUUAGAUGACAUGUUGGACCUACAAGACUGGAAAUGACAGUUUAAGUCUGCCAAGAUGUAUACACCUUUCUUCACAUGAAAAAAGAUAUGCUGAUUGGCUAGUGUGAGCUGUUGUCCAGGUUGCUUCUAGGAAGAGGGAGAUGAUAAUUUAAGCACUGGUAGAGGCUAAAUGAAAGUUUUCACCCUUCACAAUGAUGCUGGCAGUGAAAGAGAGACAGACGGACAGACGGACGUUGCUUCCACUCUUGUCUCGGAGGGUCCGGCCGACACCCCACCUCCACUCCUGUUCUGCCAGAGGGCCCGUUUGACGUCCCUGCCUUCCCCGUCACUACCUUACUCUGCAGAUGACGCUGUUGCCACAAAACCGCCACCAUCCUCCUGCGCUAUCGGGGUCCGAGCUAGCUUCUAUGUCUCCUUUAUCUCAAGCCCCAGCCAUUCCUACAUGGGACUCUGAGGGUCCUUUGCUAGACCCCACAUCCACUGAAACUCUGUUCCUCCUUUGAAUGACCUCCUGGUGUUCUACCAGACGUUCAAGGACAAUAAAUACUUAUCCAAUGCACUAUCCAUUUUUUUAUGCUUACAAUGCUAAGGUUUAACCAAAUGAAAAAGGAAGCUGUUGUUAAGGUGUAUCAUUCUUAUCAGUUUACGUUAGACAACGUUUUCCAAUUAAAAUACGUCAGAUAGCAACUGGAAAGAUUAAGUAGGGCUUUAGUUGGGUGUCCAUCUACACAACUAUCUCCCCAAUGAUUCUAUUCGGAAAUUUUAAUAUCUUCCUUCUUAGUUGAACAAAAUGGUUAAAGAUGCUUUAUAUUCCCUAUUAUUGGCUUUCCUUAAAAGUGUCUGGAUUUUAAACUGCAUUGGUGUUUCCCAUAAAAUGUUUUUGAUAGAGGAGGGAACAAGAGUCCAGAGUGAGAGUUUGUAAAUGAAGGCCUAAAUUUGCCCAUGUCCUCUUGAGGGACCACACACUUUAUGGAUUACUUCCUCCUAUUCUCUGAUCCAAGAACAGCAGAACUUGUGCUGGCGCCAUGAUCUGUGAUGGCAACCAGGAUAAAUGAUACAAACACUGGGGGAUGCAUGGCAGCUUAAAAGCCUCUGUCCUAAAUAAAAGUUACAAAGGAACUGGAAGAAAAAAGAGGCUGUCAUAGUGAACAGAUGAGGAGCAGCCAUGUGAAAUGUAAAAUCAUUAGACAGAGAUGGAUCCAGGCUGCAGACUUCACUGUCAUCUCUCUGGAGUUAUGUCUGGUUCUGUGCCAACAUGCUUGUCUAUCAUUCUUUUUCUGCUGGCUUUUUUGUUUCCCUACUUUUCCAUAGGUCAGCCAACCUGAAACUGCAAUUUCCACGUUUUAAACUCAAAGAAAAA
This is a long non-coding RNA of Girardinichthys multiradiatus, 1765 nucleotides long. RefSeq lists it as uncharacterized. The transcript is spliced from 4 exons. The record is from RefSeq and is a predicted model, not a curated record. NCBI's taxonomy places the organism in Eukaryota, Metazoa, Chordata, Actinopteri, Cyprinodontiformes, Goodeidae.